This 445-nucleotide ribosomal RNA is filed under the name Apanteles inunctus. RNAcentral's name for it is "partial 16S ribosomal RNA". The record is from RNAcentral. Lineage: Eukaryota; Metazoa; Arthropoda; Insecta; Hymenoptera; Braconidae.
UCACCUGUUUUUCAAAAACAUGUCUUAAAGAAAUUUAAUUUAAAGUCAAAUCUGCUCAAUGAAUUAUCACUUAAAUAGCUGCAGUAUAAAUAACUGUACUAAGGUAGCAUAAUAAUUUGUUUUUUAAUUUAAAACUAGAAUGAAUGAUUUAAUGAAAUAUAAACUGUCUCAAUUUAAAAUAAUAAAAUUAUUAUUUAAGUUAAAAAACUUAAAUUCAAUUUAAAGACGACAAGACCCUAUAGAAUUUUAAUAUUUAAUUUUUAAUUAAAUUAAAAUUUAAAUAAUUUAAUUGGGGAAAUUUUAAAAUUAAAAUAAUUUUUAAUUAAAUUUAACAAUUAUUUUUGAAUAAAUAAUUUUUACUUAAAAAAAUAAAAAAAAAUUACCUUAGGGAUAACAGCAUAAUUUUUUUUUAAAGUUCAAAUUUAUAAAAAAGUUUAUGACCUCG